UUUAUUAUUAUUAAAUAAAACAAAAAAGUAAAAAAAAAUGAGAAUGUACUAAAAUAAAACGAAAGUCGAGACUCGAACCCGGGACCAUAUGAUAGCUCUCCCUACCCAUGUUCUCUUACCAAUUAUGCUAUUUCAUUUAUUUAAAAUAAGAUGGUACUAGAAAACAUAUGAACGGUGGUCAAAAUUUGGGGUACAACAGGUAGUGUAGUGGGAAAUUCAUGAUCAUU
This 227-nucleotide long non-coding RNA is filed under the name Lathyrus oleraceus (garden pea). RNAcentral's name for it is "Pisum sativum (pea) long non-coding RNA (PSAT_LNC021127)". The record is from RNAcentral. Lineage: Eukaryota; Viridiplantae; Streptophyta; Magnoliopsida; Fabales; Fabaceae.